ACUCAAAAGGGGAACCCAUCCUCAUCUGGGUUUGUCUGUGAUCUUUCCAUCAGCUCUAUUGUGUGUGCGUGUGUGUGUGUGUGUGCACGUGCGUGUGUGUGUCUGCGUGUGUGUGUGUGUGUGUGUGUGUGUGUGUUUAAACAUCCUGUCACGGCUUUUACAACAUUACAGUGUGAGAGACACGAUGAGAAGAGGACAGGAAAAAGGGUUACUGUUCUUCUGCCUCAUCUACAUCAAAGGUUGUCUAGCCGGUGAUGACAUCAUCACGUCUGGCCCAGUACGAGCUAAACUGGGUCAGUCUGUAUCCCUGUCCUGUAGAAUAAAAGAUGAAACGCAUAUGAGUGUCUCGGUGUGGAGAUUCUGCAACGACUCGACCACCAUCGCUGUGUUUAAAGCCGGAGGCAGAAUAGCACUCACAUUGAAGAGCAGUACACCAGCCGUGUCUCCAUCACACAGUACCACACCCUCACCAUCCUUCAGGUGCAGGACAGAGAUUACGGGGAUUACUGCUGCACAGUGGCCGCCUUCCCCCAAGGAAGUCUGGAGGGCAGGAUCCAGCUCCUGAAACAAAUCGACAACGAGGAAGUCAGUCAUCCACCUGCAGGUUUGCCAGCGAUAGUGAUCGUGUACAUCACCUGUGGAGUUGUUGGGUUUGUUGUUCUGGUCGGAUUCAUCUCCGCACUGGUUUUCAGUAAGAGGAGAAGAAAAAUACGAAACCCGGUGCAUGUGACGGUGACCAACUCCAUCUCACACAAACAACCAUCACUCCUGCAGAAAGACCUGUACACAACGUCACACACAACGUCACACACAACGUCACACACCUCAUCACACGCUUCCAGGGGUGAUGAAGAUGAUGUUGAUAUGUACCUGACUGUGAGAACCUCUGUAUGAAACCUCUCUGUUCUUCAAACACACAUUAUCUCUCCUCUUCUCUCUCUCAGUUACUCACGUCUUUUCAGUGUAAAUAAUUUGUUUGUGUUUGUGUGUAAACAAUUGUUGUUUUUUAUUAAAGAACUUUACAGUAAA
This is a long non-coding RNA of Silurus meridionalis, 1029 nucleotides long. RefSeq lists it as uncharacterized. Lineage: Eukaryota; Metazoa; Chordata; Actinopteri; Siluriformes; Siluridae. The record is from RefSeq and is a predicted model, not a curated record. The transcript has 4 exons.